Molecule: RNA transcript, 3776 nt
Organism: Folsomia candida
Lineage: Eukaryota; Metazoa; Arthropoda; Collembola; Entomobryomorpha; Isotomidae
Exons: 3
Source: RefSeq, a predicted model, not a curated record
UAUUUAUCAGCACGUCUGUUCUCUCUCACCUCACUUGUGGAAUUGCAUAUUGUACAUAGCAACAAAUUAUUUUAUAUAGUUCUAAAUAAUACUUAUUAAUCUCUGCUAAGGAAACAUGUCCCCCAAAAUUAAUUCCCCACAAAAACCCCAUUUGAAAACAAGUCCCUCAACUACAAGCAUGUCAAAUCUUUCAUAUCUCCAAAAACAACGCUUGUACAAACAAAUAUUUCUCAGAAAAGGGAAACUUUCCAUGGCAUCAUCGUUAUCUCAAAUGUUUGCAAAAUUUUCAAUGCUCUGCCUAGUCGAACUAAAAUUCAAUCCCGACUCAAUAAAUCAACCGGAUCCCACCCUUCUCGCUAUUUAUGUCGUCACCACAUCAAUCCUCAUCACGCACACGGUCAUCCUGCACCUCGCCCUGUGUCACAUCGACACCAGUCUGGACCCCAUCAUCGCCUCCUCGAAUCACUCCAUUGAACACUUCGACUUUGACUGGAUCCCGUUUCAAGCCCUCUUUUUCACCUGGGAUGGCGUCUACGUGGUCGGAAUUUGCGGUGGAUUUUUCCUCUUCACAUUAUGCUUCAUUCUACUCUUGUGGAUAAAAUUUGUCCAAGCAGGCAGUUAUCUGCCCUUCGUGGGGAUGAUAUUUAUGGGACCGGUUUUCCUCAUCGUUUGCAUUUACGGGAUUGUCCUCUACAUACGGGAAAAGCGACAGAGGGGAGAAGAAAGAGCGAGUGACGUGACGACCUACAACGUGAGGAACGACGAUUUGGAAGUUUUUGCCAUAAUAUUUUGCGAUAGGUGUAAAGUGCAUGUCGAAAAGUAUUUUACUGGAGAGGAGAUGUUGCAAAUUAAUGAUAUUGAUGUCCCCUGCUGUAAGUAUAGGAAACGGUUGUUUAGAAAAUUAGAGUAAAACUGUAACACUUCCAAAUUUUAUAAAUCGUUUAAUUAGUUUCAGUUUUUGUACGAUGAACUGUUUUAUAUUCUGGAUUAGAUAAACUCAAUGAAUAAGAAUGUAUCCUCAAAAACUAUUAUUUGAUGAUUACUCCAGAUCAAGAUGAUGCAUGUAAGCAUAUCUUGUGUCUUCCGUGGGAUAAUAAUACAUAACCCGUUGUGAAGAUAUUUCUGACCAGAUUAUUCCGUCAACAUGGUUAAGUGAUAUGUACUGUGUUGAAACGUUUAAUAAUUUCAAGUUUUCUGUAGUGAAAAUUCACGACAUUCACCAAACUAAGCGGACAAGUCACAUAAUGACUUGUCCAUUUAGAAGGUAAUAAAAUAAAUUAUUUUAUGAUGUGCCGGAUGAAUUUCCAUUCAUCCGUCAAAAUUGAAAAAAAUUACAAAUAUUUAUGACUAAAUGAAAACGUAAAUAUAAUACUCACCGAGUUGGAUAAUAUAUAUGAAAACAAAAUCAAAAUAGAUUAGUUCCAUGGGAGCAUGGGACUGAAUAUUCUGUUAAUCUCUUACUUCGUGCCUAAUUUUUAUUAAAUUUGUAAACGACUGGGAAAAUACUAGGAUCCAAUCUUUUAUUACUUAAAUACCGACUUGCUAAAACAUACCAUUAACACUGUGAAUGUAUACUCGUACGUAUGCAUGUAUUUUUGAGCAUAUGUACAUAUACAUAUGUACAUAUGUGACGACAAUGUAUGGACUUGCGGAAUCUGCUUUCAAUUAGAUUACUACCUUCUUAUCACCAAGCUCAUACGCAAACUCCACAAAAAGUCAUCAUCCAUAGCACACGCAGGUAAUAUAAAUUAGUAUUUAUGUGCAUACUUAUAUAUAUUCAUAAGACAACGGCUACACCAAUCGAGCAUUACUAAAAUUUACCUACCUACUUAAACAUGUAUGCACGUAUGUCCCAUCUGAUCGCUUAUCUUGUCACCUUUACCCAAUAAAAAAAUGCAACCAAUUAACGCGUGACUAAUAUAUGCAUGCAAAACCAUGCAAAUGUACACAAAUAUGUACAUAAUUUAGUUGUUCCUGAUCAUUAACUCGCAAUGUGUGGACCAGAAGGACGCAAGCAGACAAUUUUGCGUACUGCAUAAGUUUUGCGUACCCAAAAAAUUGAACCCUAAAACUCGAGAUUAUUUCAAAAUGUCUCCAAAUAUUAGCACUUAUUCUUAUCAGCCCUUACCAACACAAUCCUCAGGGUCAAAGUUUCCUCGUCAUGACAAGACCCGGAUUUACCAGCAAAUAUUCACGAGGAAAGGGAAACUUUCAAUGGCAUCGUCCCUGUCACAAAUGUUUGCCAAAUUUUCAGUGCUCUGUCUUGUCGAAAUAAAAUUCAACGCCUCCUCCAAGCACCAACCGGACCCGAUGCUUGUCACCGUUUACGCCAUUGUUACGUCUCUCUUCAUCGCCCACACGGUCACUCUUCAUCUCGCCUUGUGUCACAUUGACACGAGUCUGGAUCCCAUCAUCGCCUCCUCAAAUAAUUCCAUCGAACAAUUCGACUUUAACCAGCUUCCUUUUCACGCUCUCUUUUUCAGUUGGGAUUUCGCCUACGUGGUCGGAAUCUGUGGUGGAUAUUUUCUAUUUAGUUUGUGCUUCAUUCUCCUCUUGUGGAUCAAAUUUGCACAAUUUGGAAGAACAAUUCCCUUGUGGGGAUUCAUUUUCAUGGGACCAGUACUCUUAAUCGUGGUCAUUUAUGCGAUUGUGUUGUACUUGAGGGAAAAAAGACAGAGGAUGAGAGGAGGCUAGACAAAAAGGAGACUGGUAAAUUAUUGUGAAAUAAUAAUUCACUCGAAGGCUUGUAGCUCAGUAAACGGGGUAAACUUUAGAAAAUUAUUUUUUACACACUUACUUUUUAUGACUAUUUAACAUGUGUUAAUUUACGUAGAUUAAAUUUGUAUGCUGAUUUUCAGCGUUAAUUUUUGUAAGUUUGUAAACCUAGUUUCACUUUAUAUGGGGAUAUAUUAAAUGAGCACGUGGUCUUAGCGGCUGGAAAUUCUGUCACCGUGUGUAUGAAAAAUGCUUUUGGAAUCCUAAAGGUAAAGCCUGCAGGUAAAUUUUGCAAGUUUUGCAAGUACAUACAUUAGCGUAAAUUGGCCCAUUAAGUGCUUACAAAUUAUGUAAUCAUCAAUCCCCAAAAAUGAAUAUGUGAAUGUACAAUUCCACUCAUCCGAAUCGCGUUAAAUAAAUUUAAUUCUGUUAAUUUUUUCGGUGUUCAGUCAAUCUCUCAAUAAAUACGAAAUUACACUGAAAACUGUGCGAUUUAAGUGAUAAUUAAGUACUCAACUUAUUUUUAGACUCGCACUAAAUGAAAGAGAAGGAUUUAUACCUAUUUUUAGAACUUAUGUAUAAUCAUUACCUUGGUUUUGUGAAGGUUCUUCCAUUGUCGGACCCAGCUUGCACCAGUAUCUCACGGGUUUUUAAGAAUGGCCAAUAUUACAAAAAGCUAAGAAUAGCCCAGUCAACAAAGGUGGGAUGACUCUUCAAUAUUUUAUUUUAUUUCAUACAUAUGCCGGCCGGCACAUAAAAAAUAUGAUACUCAUUCAAAUCUGUGAAGUACUUCGUCCCAUCGGAAAUCAUUAAUUGCCACCGGUUUCGGUAGAUUUGAAUUAUGAAAGAAAUUGUAACAAUGUAUAUAAAAUAGUAAACCAAUAAGUUGGCUUAAUUUGCAAAACUGUGCUAAACUUAUUUGGCACAUGGUAAAAUUUUAUUCAAGGAUUAAAUAGAAACCAGGAUAAAAACGUGACAACUUUGUGACAUACUAACCUUUAAUUAUUUAUUAGUUCAAUCAUAUCGAUUAUUCUUAAUUAAUAAAUAAAACAAAAUAAAUA